AAAAGGAGAAUUUUAACCACGUCAUCUACUCACCUCUGCACAAUUUUAACACCGUUAACAAUUUUUAACGGCAGGGGCUAAUUUGUUUCAAAUUAACACUUAUAAGGACUCAAUUGGGAAGGUUUAAAAGAAGGGGACCAAAUUGGAAAUACCUUACGAAAAUAGGGACGCCUAAAUGGUUUUAACCUUAUUUUAUAUUAGAUUUUACAUUUUUUUACUUCACCCAUUGUUUGUUUUCUGUUUGAAGUGAUAAAAGACACAUCUUUAGCUAUAAAAUUAAACAAUUCCAUGAAUUUUUACCUUAGUUUGCUUCCUAUACACAUUAGGGGGAAUUAAGUUUUUAUUAGCAUUUAUGCAACCAAAUUUCUUGAUAACACAUACCUCUUAUCCAUAACUAAGCACACUCAAAGAGUUGGAGUCAUAUGUGAAAGGUGGCCCUAAGCUCUUAUCAUCAUUGACCAUCAAUGAGCGUUUAGAAGAAUAGGUUUAUUUUAUACCUUUUAUUAUGGGUCUGGUAGUGUACAUUUUUCC
This 531-nucleotide long non-coding RNA is filed under the name Vigna radiata. RNAcentral describes it as "long non-coding RNA (VRAD_LNC011966)". The record is from RNAcentral. Lineage: Eukaryota; Viridiplantae; Streptophyta; Magnoliopsida; Fabales; Fabaceae.